This 217-nucleotide long non-coding RNA is filed under the name Mytilus galloprovincialis (Mediterranean mussel). Lineage: Eukaryota; Metazoa; Mollusca; Bivalvia; Mytilida; Mytilidae. The record is from RNAcentral.
GGGGUACAGAACACCUAAGAAAAGAUAACUCUUACUCAUGGUCUGAUUCAUUGCUACGUUUUAAAAUCAUGUGCAAUAUGCAAGCUUUUAAAAGAUCAUGAUUAGAAUGAUUACAUUAUUGCUAAGAGCAGCUGUACACAUAUUGUUAUUCAUUUAAUCUUUUAAUCCAUUUAAAGUUACUCAUUUUCCAUGAAUGAAUCUUUAAAGAGAUAUAAUA